Molecule: ribosomal RNA, 498 nt
Filed under: uncultured bacterium
Lineage: Bacteria
Description: bacterial SSU rRNA
Rfam family: Bacterial small subunit ribosomal RNA
Source: RNAcentral
UAGUCCACGCCGUAAACGAUGAUUACUCGCUGUAGGCGAUACACAGUCUGUGGCUAAGCGAAAGUUUUAAGUAAUCCACCUGGGGAGUACGAUCGCAAGAUUGAAACUCAAAGGAAUUGACGGGGGCCCGCACAAGCGGAGGAACAUGUGGUUUAAUUCGAUGAUACGCGAGGAACCUUACCUGGACUUAAAUGUAGAUUGCAUAGCUUAGAGAUAGGCUUUUCUUCGGACUAUUUACAAGGUGCUGCAUGGUUGUCGUCAGCUCGUGCCGUGAGGUGUCGGGUUAAGUCCCAUAACGAGCGCAACCCCUAUCCUUAGUUGCCAGCGGGUCAUGCCGGGGACUCUGAGGAGACUGCCACCGUAAGGUGUGAGGAAGGUGGGGACGACGUCAAAUCAUCAUGGCCUUUAUGCCUAGGGCUACACACGUGCUACAAUGGUGCAUACAGAGGGUAGCGAAGCAGUGAUGUGGAGCCAAUCUCAGAAAGUGCAUCCCAGUUC